CGGCAACAGCUCAGAUUUGAAAUCUGGCCUUCGGGUCCGGGUUGUAAUCUGUAGAGGAUGUUUCUGGCGACGUGCCUUCCGAGUUCCCUGGAACGGGACGCCAUAGAGGGUGAGAGCCCCGUACGGUUGGAUGCCUAGCCUCUGUGAAACCCCUUCGAC
This 159-nucleotide ribosomal RNA is filed under the name Sordariomycetidae sp. RNAcentral's name for it is "partial large subunit ribosomal RNA". It matches the Rfam family "Eukaryotic large subunit ribosomal RNA", at positions 99 to 261 of the family's 3401-position model. The record is from RNAcentral. Lineage: Eukaryota; Fungi; Ascomycota; Sordariomycetes.